AAGGGAAAUCAACCACGUAUCAUCAUCAUCAUCAUUGCAUUGUUGUUGUUGUUGUUUUAACACACAUGCUUCCCUCGCUUCCCUCGCUUCCCUCGCUUUUCAUACUUGCACUUAUAUUUUAUAAUAUAAGAGCGGUAACUAUAGUACAUAACAUAGUAAUCGAUUUUAAGUUGUAAUUAAUAAUAAUAACUAUACACCCAUCAAUUACCAGUGAUCAUAUAGUUAUAUAUCAUCAAUCUAUUUUGUAGAAAUAUGGAGAGUUAGCUAUAAUAGUAUGUAGAGAGAUAGAUAUCUACCAUAGAUUCUGCAAAUAGUCUAGAGAUAAAAUAUAUAUUAUAUAUAUAUAUAUAUAGAUAGA
RNAcentral lists this small RNA (358 nucleotides) under Histoplasma ohiense. RNAcentral's name for it is "hypothetical lncRNA". The record is from RNAcentral. Lineage: Eukaryota; Fungi; Ascomycota; Eurotiomycetes; Onygenales; Ajellomycetaceae.